CCAUAGUGACCGCUCACAGGGGAGCUGUGUGGCUGGUUUCCUUAUACUCUGUGACUCUCUGAAGGACUCUACAGGCUUCACGGCUAGACGCCAUGAAGGAGAUUGACCUUCAUAACGCAAGGACCACUGCUCUGGCAGUUUCGACACGCAGGGGAAGGUGGCUACACCAAUGGACUGCGGAUACAGAAUCCGAGUAAGGUAUGACAGGUCCGCCCUUCACAGCUUUCCUACUGCAAGCACAGUUACUUGCCAGCAAACAAUUAAUGAGGAGUUUGCCAGUAAAUCUCGAGACAUUAAUCUCCUGGCCAGGAACCAACAGUUUGGUCUAGAAAAGGAGACUCUUGUUUACUUAAUGGUACAGUCUGUGCCUGUACCUUAUAUUGUAGUUUGGUAGCAGUAUCUAUAACUGCUGGAAGGAAAUUACAUCUGAUAACAGUUGUUUAUGCAGAACAUCGUGUUUACAGCU
Long non-coding RNA from Pseudophryne corroboree (corroboree frog), 466 nucleotides. RefSeq lists it as uncharacterized. NCBI's taxonomy places the organism in Eukaryota, Metazoa, Chordata, Amphibia, Anura, Myobatrachidae. The record is from RefSeq and is a predicted model, not a curated record. The transcript is spliced from 3 exons.